AUUGAACGCUGGCGGCAGGCCUAACACAUGCAAGUCGAACGGUAACAGGGAUCAGCUUGCUGAUUCGCUGACGAGUGGCGGACGGGUGAGUAAUGUCUGGGAAACUGCCUGAUGGAGGGGGAUAACUACUGGAAACGGUAGCUAUUACCGCAUAACGUCGCAAGCCCAAAGAGGGGGACCUUCGGGCCUCUUGCCAUCGGCUGUGCCCAGAUGGGAUUAGCUAGUAGGUGGGGUAACGGCUCACCUAGGCGACGAUCCAUAGCUGGUCUGAGAGGAUGACCAGCCACACUGGAACUGAGACACGGUCCAGACUCCUACGGGAGGCAGCAGUGGGGAAUAUUGCACAAUGGGCGCAAGCCUGAUGCAGCCAUGCCGCGUGUAUGAAGAAGGCCUUCGGGUUGUAAAGUACUUUCAGCGGGGAGGAAGGGAGUAAAGUUAAUACCUUUGCUCAUUGACGUUACCCGCAGAAGAAGCACCGGCUAACUACGUG
RNAcentral lists this ribosomal RNA (490 nucleotides) under uncultured bacterium. RNAcentral describes it as "partial 16S ribosomal RNA". It matches the Rfam family "Bacterial small subunit ribosomal RNA", at positions 30 to 507 of the family's 1533-position model. The record is from RNAcentral.